RNAcentral lists this ribosomal RNA (591 nucleotides) under Dietzia sp. RNAcentral's name for it is "bacterial SSU rRNA". It matches the Rfam family "Bacterial small subunit ribosomal RNA", at positions 392 to 994 of the family's 1533-position model. Lineage: Bacteria; Bacillati; Actinomycetota; Actinomycetes; Mycobacteriales; Dietziaceae. The record is from RNAcentral.
CGAMGCCGCGUGGGGGAUGACGGUCUUCGGAUUGUAAACCCCUUUCAGUAGGGACGAAGCGCAAGUGACGGUACCUGCAGAAGAAGCACCGGCUAACUACGUGCCAGCAGCCGCGGUAAUACGUAGGGUGCGAGCGUUGUCCGGAAUUACUGGGCGUAAAGAGCUCGUAGGCGGUUUGUCACGUCGUCUGUGAAAUCCCUCGGCUUAACCGGGGGCGUGCAGGCGAUACGGGCAGACUUGAGUACUACAGGGGAGACUGGAAUUCCUGGUGUAGCGGUGAAAUGCGCAGAUAUCAGGAGGAACACCGGUGGCGAAGGCGGGUCUCUGGGUAGUAACYGACGCUGAGGAGCGAAAGCAUGGGUAGCGAACAGGAUUAGAUACCCUGGUAGUCCAUGCCGUAAACGGUGGGCGCUAGGUGUGGGGUYCUUCCACGGACUCCGUGCCGUAGCUAACGCAUUAAGCGCCCCGCCUGGGGAGUACGGCCGCAAGGCUAAAACUCAAAGGAAUUGACGGGGGCCCGCACAAGCGGCGGAGCAUGUGGAUUAAUUYGAUGCAACGCGAAGAACCUUACCUAGGCUUGACAUAUACAGG